GGCUCCAUGGUCUAGUGGUACGAUACUCGCUUCGGGAGAACAUCCCAUUCUUUCAAUAGAAUUUGUGAGUGGUCCCGGGUUCGAGUCCCGGUGGAGCCC
Molecule: non-coding RNA, 99 nt
Organism: Purpureocillium lavendulum
Lineage: Eukaryota; Fungi; Ascomycota; Sordariomycetes; Hypocreales; Ophiocordycipitaceae
Source: the annotation of a GenBank genome assembly